GAUGAACGCUAGCUACAGGCUUAACACAUGCAAGUCGAGGGGCAGCAUGAUUGAAGCUUGCUUCAAUCGAUGGCGACCGGCGCACGGGUGAGUAACACGUAUCCAACCUGCCGAUAACUCGGGGAUAGCCUUUCGAAAGAAAGAUUAAUACCCGAUAGUAUAGUAUUUCCGCAUGGUUUCACUAUUAAAGAACUUCGGUUAUCGAUGGGGAUGCGUUCCAUUAGAUAGUUGGCGGGGUAACGGCCCACCAAGUCAACGAUGGAUAGGGGUUCUGAGAGGAAGGUACACCACAUUGGAACCGAGACACAGACCAAACUCCUACGGGAGGCAGCAGUGAGGAAUAUUAGUCAAUGGACGAGAGUCUGAACCAGCCAAGUAGCGUGAAGGAUGACUGCCCUAUGGGUUGUAAACUUCUUUUAUACGGGAAUAAAGUGGAGUAUGCAUACUCCUUUGUAUGUACCGUAUGAAUAAGGAUCGGCUAACUCCGUG
Molecule: ribosomal RNA, 489 nt
Filed under: uncultured bacterium
Lineage: Bacteria
Description: partial 16S ribosomal RNA
Rfam family: Bacterial small subunit ribosomal RNA
Source: RNAcentral